UUAAGCGACUAAGCGUACACGGUGGAUGCCCUGGCAGUCAGAGGCGAUGAAGGACGUGCUAAUCUGCGAUAAGCGUCGGUAAGGUGAUAUGAACCGUUAUAACCGGCGAUUUCCGAAUGGGGAAACCCAGUGUGUUUCGACACACUAUCAUUAACUGAAUCCAUAGGUUAAUGAGGCGAACCGGGGGAACUGAAACAUCUAAGUACCCCGAGGAAAAGAAAUCAACCGAGAUUCCCCCAGUAGCGGCGAGCGAACGGGGAGGAGCCCAGAGCCUGAAUCAGUGUGUGUGUUAGUGGAAGCGUCUGGAAAGGCGCGCGAUACAGGGUGACAGCCCCGUACACAAAAAUGCACAUACUGUGAGCUCGAUGAGUAGGGCGGGACACGUGGUAUCCUGUCUGAAUAUGGGGGGACCAUCCUCCAAGGCUAAAUACUCCUGACUGACCGAUAGUGAACCAGUACCGUGAGGGAAAGGCGAAAAGAACCCCGGCGAGGGGAGUGAAAAAGAACCUGAAACCGUGUACGUACAAGCAGUGGGAGCACAGAGCAAUCUGUGUGACUGCGUACCUUUUGUAUAAUGGGUCAGCGACUUAUAUUCUGUAGCAAGGUUAACCGAAUAGGGGAGCCGAAGGGAAACCGAGUCUUAACUGGGCGUUAAGUUGCAGGGUAUAGACCCGAAACCCGGUGAUCUAGCCAUGGGCAGGUUGAAGGUUGGGUAACACUAACUGGAGGACCGAACCGACUAAUGUUGAAAAAUUAGCGGAUGACUUGUGGCUGGGGGUGAAAGGCCAAUCAAACCGGGAGAUAGCUGGUUCUCCCCGAAAGCUAUUUAGGUAGCGCCUCGUGAAUUCAUCUCCGGGGGUAGAGCACUGUUUCGGCAAGGGGGUCAUCCCGACUUACCAACCCGAUGCAAACUGCGAAUACCGGAGAAUGUUAUCACGGGAGACACACGGCGGGUGCUAACGUCCGUCGUGAAGAGGGAAACAACCCAGACCGCCAGCUAAGGUCCCAAAGUCAUGGUUAAGUGGGAAACGAUGUGGGAAGGCCCAGACAGCCAGGAUGUUGGCUUAGAAGCAGCCAUCAUUUAAAGAAAGCGUAAUAGCUCACUGGUCGAGUCGGCCUGCGCGGAAGAUGUAACGGGGCUAAACCAUGCACCGAAGCUGCGGCAGCGACACUAUGUGUUGUUGGGUAGGGGAGCGUUCUGUAAGCCUGUGAAGGUGUACUGUGAGGUAUGCUGGAGGUAUCAGAAGUGCGAAUGCUGACAUAAGUAACGAUAAAGCGGGUGAAAAGCCCGCUCGCCGGAAGACCAAGGGUUCCUGUCCAACGUUAAUCGGGGCAGGGUGAGUCGACCCCUAAGGCGAGGCCGAAAGGCGUAGUCGAUGGGAAACAGGUUAAUAUUCCUGUACUUGGUGUUACUGCGAAGGGGGGACGGAGAAGGCUAUGUUGGCCGGGCGACGGUUGUCCCGGUUUAAGCGUGUAGGCUGGUUUUCCAGGCAAAUCCGGAAAAUCAAGGCUGAGGCGUGAUGACGAGGCACUACGGUGCUGAAGCAACAAAUGCCCUGCUUCCAGGAAAAGCCUCUAAGCAUCAGGUAACAUCAAAUCGUACCCCAAACCGACACAGGUGGUCAGGUAGAGAAUACCAAGGCGCUUGAGAGAACUCGGGUGAAGGAACUAGGCAAAAUGGUGCCGUAACUUCGGGAGAAGGCACGCUGAUAUGUAGGUGAAGCGACUUGCUCGUGGAGCUGAAAUCAGUCGAAGAUACCAGCUGGCUGCAACUGUUUAUUAAAAACACAGCACUGUGCAAACACGAAAGUGGACGUAUACGGUGUGACGCCUGCCCGGUGCCGGAAGGUUAAUUGAUGGGGUCAGCGCAAGCGAAGCUCUUGAUCGAAGCCCCGGUAAACGGCGGCCGUAACUAUAACGGUCCUAAGGUAGCGAAAUUCCUUGUCGGGUAAGUUCCGACCUGCACGAAUGGCGUAAUGAUGGCCAGGCUGUCUCCACCCGAGACUCAGUGAAAUUGAACUCGCUGUGAAGAUGCAGUGUACCCGCGGCAAGACGGAAAGACCCCGUGAACCUUUACUAUAGCUUGACACUGAACAUUGAGCCUUGAUGUGUAGGAUAGGUGGGAGGCUUUGAAGUGUGGACGCCAGUCUGCAUGGAGCCGACCUUGAAAUACCACCCUUUAAUGUUUGAUGUUCUAACGUUGACCCGUGAUCCGGGUUGCGGACAGUGUCUGGUGGGUAGUUUGACUGGGGCGGUCUCCUCCUAAAGAGUAACGGAGGAGCACGAAGGUUGGCUAAUCCUGGUCGGACAUCAGGAGGUUAGUGCAAUGGCAUAAGCCAGCUUGACUGCGAGCGUGACGGCGCGAGCAGGUGCGAAAGCAGGUCAUAGUGAUCCGGUGGUUCUGAAUGGAAGGGCCAUCGCUCAACGGAUAAAAGGUACUCCGGGGAUAACAGGCUGAUACCGCCCAAGAGUUCAUAUCGACGGCGGUGUUUGGCACCUCGAUGUCGGCUCAUCACAUCCUGGGGCUGAAGUAGGUCCCAAGGGUAUGGCUGUUCGCCAUUUAAAGUGGUACGCGAGCUGGGUUUAGAACGUCGUGAGACAGUUCGGUCCCUAUCUGCCGUGGGCGCUGGAGAACUGAGGGGGGCUGCUCCUAGUACGAGAGGACCGGAGUGGACGCAUCACUGGUGUUCGGGUUGUCAUGCCAAUGGCACUGCCCGGUAGCUAAAUGCGGAAGAGAUAAGUGCUGAAAGCAUCUAAGCACGAAACUUGCCCCGAGAUGAGUUCUCCCUGACCCUUUAAGGGUCCUGAAGGAACGUUGAAGACGACGACGUUGAUAGGCCGGGUGUGUAAGCGCAGCGAUGCGUUGAGCUAACCGGUACUAAUGAACCGUGAGGCUUAACCUU
This 2903-nucleotide ribosomal RNA is filed under the name Escherichia coli KTE193. RNAcentral's name for it is "bacterial LSU rRNA". It matches the Rfam family "Bacterial large subunit ribosomal RNA". The record is from RNAcentral. Lineage: Bacteria; Pseudomonadati; Pseudomonadota; Gammaproteobacteria; Enterobacterales; Enterobacteriaceae.